This 753-nucleotide ribosomal RNA is filed under the name uncultured archaeon. Its description in RNAcentral is "bacterial SSU rRNA". It matches the Rfam family "Archaeal small subunit ribosomal RNA", at positions 102 to 859 of the family's 1478-position model. The record is from RNAcentral.
CGAUAACCUGCCCUUAAGUUCGGGAUAACCUCGGGAAACUGUGGCUAAUACCGAAUAGCAAAUCAAAUCUGGAAUGAUUGAUUUUUCAAAGGUAACGCUUAAGGAUGGGUCGGCGGCGGAUUAGGCUGUUGGCGAGGUAACGGCUCACCAAACCGAAGAUCCGUAGGGGCUUUGAGAGAAGUAGCCCCGAGAAGGGCACUGAGACACUGGCCCUAGCCCUACGGGGUGCAGCAGGCGCGAAACCUUUACAAUGCACGCAAGUGUGAUAAGGGAACCCAGAGUGCUUAUGCAAUGCAUAAGCUUUUGCCAAGAAUAAAUACCUUGGAGAAUAAGUGGUGGGAAAGACUGGUGCCAGCCGCCGCGGUAACCCCAGCGCCACAAGUGGGAAUCGCGUUUAUUGGGCCUAAAGCAUCCGUAGCUGGUUCUGUAAAUCUCUUGUGAAAUUGUUGGACUCAAUCCAACGGCGCGCAGGAGACACUGCAAAACUAGGGACCGGGAGGAGUCAGAGGUAUGCUAUGGGGAGCGGUAAAAUGCUAUAAUCCAUGGUAGACCACCUGUGGCGAAGGCGUCUGACUAGAACGGGUCCGACAGUGAGGGAUGAAAGCCAGGGGAGCAAACCGGAUUAGAUACCCGAGUAGUCCUGGCAGUAAACUCUGCGAGCUAGGUGUCGCAUAUUCUUCGAGAAUGUGCGGUGUCGUAGUGAAGAUGUUAAGCUCGCCGCCUGGGAAUUACGGUCGCAAGACUGAAACUUAA